GAUUGCGAAAAAUGCAGGCCUAAAAAUUUGGAUUGGGAGUCAAAAAAGGUUAAAGACCAUUGCUUUCUUUAGAUCAUAGAUGGUUUCAUAUCCCAAUAAUUUACCGAAGUCUCUUGAUAAGAUCUACAUUCUGUGCACACGAAAUGUAAGCAUUGUAAACUGUAAUGUUUUAAGCGUCAAUAUGUAACGACUAUACUCUAUUCCAAAUAAGUUUGGAACAAUCAGUUAUGUCAGCCCGCUAUUAUAGUCAUCAGCUGUUUUAUAGUCGGUCGGCAGCCUGAACUUGCCGCUGUGUAAAGGAAAGUUAUUCGCAGUUUGCGCGUACGCGGAGUGUUGAAAAACAUAUGAUCAGGCUAUACACAAACGGUUCGUCGUCAACAGCGUUUACCUUCAGCAGAUCAGGUGACAACCAGCAAAUCAUGGGGGUCGUACAAUUAUUUUAACCAGAUUUAUUUGGAAUAGAGUAUAUUAUACACUAGUGCAUGCGCAGAAGGCGCAUCUCAUCCUGCAGAUUCCUUUGACGUCAAAUUGUUUAAACGGGCAAAAUGGCUGAAUCCAUAGGUAGUGUACCUUCGUGAUAUAUAUAAUCGGUCGUUCACUUUAUAUAUCAUUAUGGACAGCAGUAAAGAGUAUUACGCAAUUUCAUUUCGUACAAAACCUCAACAAGCAGAGUGACAAAAAAUAUUUUUGACAAGUUUAUCGUUUUGCGUACCUACGCAAUACACCACUUUUAGAUUUCGAUCGACUUAAUGUUAUGAGAUCAUCACCAAAAAUACAAACGAUAACAACGAAAAACCGUUUUCGAGUAAUUUACUAUUCCAAAAUUGUUCACAGAAACUUCAUCCUUAUAGUCUUUUGAGCCACCUAUUGUUAUUUUUAAUUAUUUUGAGGAAGUAU
This is a long non-coding RNA of Melanaphis sacchari, 897 nucleotides long. RefSeq lists it as uncharacterized. The record is from RefSeq and is a predicted model, not a curated record. The transcript is spliced from 3 exons. NCBI's taxonomy places the organism in Eukaryota, Metazoa, Arthropoda, Insecta, Hemiptera, Aphididae.